This 460-nucleotide ribosomal RNA is filed under the name uncultured bacterium. RNAcentral describes it as "partial 16S ribosomal RNA". It matches the Rfam family "Bacterial small subunit ribosomal RNA", at positions 338 to 795 of the family's 1533-position model. The record is from RNAcentral.
CCUACGGGUGGCAGCAGUGAGGAAUAUUGGUCAAUGGGCGCGAGCCUGAACCAGCCAAGUAGCGUGAAGGAUGACUGCCCUACGGGUUGUAAACUUCUUUUAUCAAGGAGUAAAGUGAGGCACGUGUGCCUUUUUGUAUGUACUUUAUGAAUAAGGCUCGGCUAACUCCGUGCCAGCAGCCGCGGUAAUACGGAGGGUCCGAGCGUUAUCCGGAUUUAUUGGGUUUAAAGGGAGCGUAGAUGGGUUGUUAAGUCAGUUGUGAAAGUUUGCGGCUCAACCGUAAAAUUGCAAUUGAUACUGGCAGCCUUGAGUACAGUUGAGGUAGGCGGAAUGCGUGGUGUAGCGGUGAAAUGCUUAGAUAUCACGAAGAACUCCGAUUGCGAAGGCAGCUUACUAGACUGCCACUGACAUUGAUGCUCGAAAGUGUGGGUAUCAAACAGGAUUAGAUACCCCAGUAGUC